CCUACGGGCGGCUUCAGUGGGGAAUAUUGGACAAUGGGGGGAACCCUGAUCCAGCCAUGCCGCGUGUGUGAAGAAGGCCCUCGGGUUGUAAAGCACUUUCAGUGAGGAAGAACGCCUGGUGGUUAAUACCCAUCAGGAAAGACAUCACUCACAGAAGAAGCACCGGCUAACUCCGUGCCAGCAGCCGCGGUAAUACGGAGGGUGCGAGCGUUAAUCGGAAUUACUGGGCGUAAAGCGCGCGUAGGUGGCUUGAUAAGCCGGUUGUGAAAGCCCCGGGCUCAACCUGGGAACGGCAUCCGGAACUGUCAAGCUAGAGUGCAGGAGAGGAAGGUAGAAUUCCCGGUGUAGCGGUUAAAUGCGUAGAGAUCGGGAGGAAUACCAGUGGCGAAGGCGGCCUUCUGGACUGACACUGACACUGAGGUGCGAAAGCGUGGGUAGCAAACAGGAUUAGAUACCCGAGUAGUC
This 465-nucleotide ribosomal RNA is filed under the name Vreelandella stevensii. RNAcentral describes it as "partial 16S ribosomal RNA". It matches the Rfam family "Bacterial small subunit ribosomal RNA", at positions 338 to 795 of the family's 1533-position model. Lineage: Bacteria; Pseudomonadati; Pseudomonadota; Gammaproteobacteria; Oceanospirillales; Halomonadaceae. The record is from RNAcentral.